RNAcentral lists this ribosomal RNA (448 nucleotides) under uncultured bacterium. RNAcentral's name for it is "partial 16S ribosomal RNA". It matches the Rfam family "Bacterial small subunit ribosomal RNA", at positions 30 to 523 of the family's 1533-position model. The record is from RNAcentral.
AUUGAACGCUGGCGGCAGGCUUAACACAUGCAAGUCGAACGAGACCUUCGGGUCUAGUGGCGCACGGGUGCGUAACGCGUGGGAAUCUGCCCUUUGCUACGGAAUAACUCAGAGAAAUUUGUGCUAAUACCGUAUGAUGUCGCAAGACCAAAGAUUUAUCGGCAAAGGAUGAGCCCGCGCAGGAUUAGCUUGUUGGUGAGGUAAAAGCUCACCAAGGCGACGAUCCUUAGCUGGUCUGAGAGGAUGAUCAGCCACACUGGGACUGAGACACGGCCCAGACUCCUACGGGAGGCAGCAGUGGGGAAUAUUGGACAAUGGCGAAAGCCUGAUCCAGCAAUGCCGCGUGAGUGAUGAAGGCCUUAGGGUUGUAAAGCUCUUUUACCAGGGAUGAUAAUGACAGUACCUGGAGAAUAAGCACCGGCUAACUCUGUGCCAGCAGCCGCGGUAA